RNAcentral lists this unclassified non-coding RNA (182 nucleotides) under uncultured Gnomoniaceae. The record is from RNAcentral. Lineage: Eukaryota; Fungi; Ascomycota; Sordariomycetes; Diaporthales; Gnomoniaceae.
CUGGAACAAACGCCCUCACGGGUGCUACCCAGAAACCCUGUGUGAAUACUACCUAAAAUGUUGCCUCGGCAUUGGUUGGCCUCUUUGAGGUCCCUUUCCCUCGGGGAAGGAGCAGACCGGCCGGUGGCCCUAUAAACUCUUGUUUUUGUAAUAUCAUCUGAGUAAAAAACAUAAAUAAAUCA